UACCCUUGACAUGCCUGGAAUCCUGCAGAGAUGUGGGAGUGCUCGAAAGAGAGCCAGGACACAAGGUGCUGCAUGGCCGUCGUCAGCUCGUGUCGUGAGAUGUUGGGUUAAGUCCCGCAACGAGCGCAACCCUUGUCAUUAGUUGCUACGAAAGGGCACUCUAAUGAGACUGCCGGUGACAAACCGGAGGAAGGUGGGGAUGACGUCAGGUCCUCAUGGCCCUUAUGGGUAGGG
RNAcentral lists this ribosomal RNA (234 nucleotides) under uncultured bacterium. RNAcentral's name for it is "partial 16S ribosomal RNA". It matches the Rfam family "Bacterial small subunit ribosomal RNA", at positions 976 to 1213 of the family's 1533-position model. The record is from RNAcentral.